UGCAAGUAUGCUGAAAAUAAGGAUCGGCUAACUCCGUGCCAGCAGCCGCGGUAAUACGGAGGAUCCGAGCGUUAUCCGGAUUUAUUGGGUUUAAAGGGUGCGCAGGCGGCUUUUUAAGUCAGUGGUUAAAUCGUGAGGCUCAACCUCAUCACGCCAUUGAUACUGGAGAGCUUGAUUGCGGUUGAGGUUGGCGGAAUUCGUCGUGUAGCGGUGAAAUGCAUAGAUAUGGCGAAGAACUCCGAUUGCGUAGGCAGCUGACCAGGCCGUAAAUGACGCUCAUGCACGAAAGUGCGGGGAUCGAACAGGAUUAGAUACCCUG
Molecule: ribosomal RNA, 319 nt
Filed under: uncultured bacterium
Lineage: Bacteria
Description: bacterial SSU rRNA
Rfam family: Bacterial small subunit ribosomal RNA
Source: RNAcentral